This 611-nucleotide ribosomal RNA is filed under the name Salmonella enterica subsp. enterica serovar Chester. RNAcentral's name for it is "partial 23S ribosomal RNA". It matches the Rfam family "Bacterial large subunit ribosomal RNA", at positions 2190 to 2800 of the family's 2925-position model. The record is from RNAcentral. Lineage: Bacteria; Pseudomonadati; Pseudomonadota; Gammaproteobacteria; Enterobacterales; Enterobacteriaceae.
CCUUGAAAUACCACCCUUUAAUGUUUGAUGUUCUAACGUGGACCCGUGAUCCGGGUUGCGGACAGUGUCUGGUGGGUAGUUUGACUGGGGCGGUCUCCUCCUAAAGAGUAACGGAGGAGCACGAAGGUUGGCUAAUCCUGGUCGGACAUCAGGAGGUUAGUGCAAUGGCAUAAGCCAGCUUGACUGCGAGCGUGACGGCGCGAGCAGGUGCGAAAGCAGGUCAUAGUGAUCCGGUGGUUCUGAAUGGAAGGGCCAUCGCUCAACGGAUAAAAGGUACUCCGGGGAUAACAGGCUGAUACCGCCCAAGAGUUCAUAUCGACGGCGGUGUUUGGCACCUCGAUGUCGGCUCAUCACAUCCUGGGGCUGAAGUAGGUCCCAAGGGUAUGGCUGUUCGCCAUUUAAAGUGGUACGCGAGCUGGGUUUAGAACGUCGUGAGACAGUUCGGUCCCUAUCUGCCGUGGGCGCUGGAGAACUGAGGGGGGCUGCUCCUAGUACGAGAGGACCGGAGUGGACGCAUCACUGGUGUUCGGGUUGUCAUGCCAAUGGCACUGCCCGGUAGCUAAAUGCGGAAGAGAUAAGUGCUGAAAGCAUCUAAGCACGAAACUUGCCCC